Molecule: ribosomal RNA, 472 nt
Filed under: uncultured bacterium
Lineage: Bacteria
Description: bacterial SSU rRNA
Rfam family: Bacterial small subunit ribosomal RNA
Source: RNAcentral
UGGGGAAUUUUGGACAAUGGGCGCAAGCCUGAUCCAGCAAUGCCGCGUGAGUGAAGAAGGCCUUCGGGUUGUAAAGCUCUUUCAGUCGAGAAGAAAAGGUUGUGACCAAUAAUCACAACUCAUGACGGUAUCGACAGAAGAAGCACCGGCUAACUACGUGCCAGCAGCCGCGGUAAUACGUAGGGUGCGAGCGUUAAUCGGAAUUACUGGGCGUAAAGGGUGCGCAGGCGGUUUUGUAAGUCAGAUGUGAAAUCCCCGGGCUUAACCUGGGAACUGCGUUUGAAACUACAAGACUAGAGUGUGGCAGAGGGGGGUGGAAUUCCAUGUGUAGCAGUGAAAUGCGUAGAGAUAUGGAAGAACAUCGAUGGCGAAGGCAGCCCCCUGGGUUAACACUGACGCUCAUGCACGAAAGCGUGGGGAGCAAACAGGAUUAGAUACCCCGGUAGUCCCUGAGCGGGCUGGCAAGGCGCAU